UACGGAGGAUGCGAGCGUUAUCCGGAUUUAUUGGGUUUAAAGGGUGCGUAGGUUGUUUUUUAAGUCAGCGGUGAAAGUUUGUGGCUCAACCCCGUCGUGCCGUUGAAACUGGCGUUCUUGAGUGAGCGAGAAGUAUGCGGAAUGCGUGGUGUAGCGGUGAAAUGCAUAGAUAUCACGCAGAACUCCGAUUGCGAAGGCAGCUUACUAAGCCAUAACUGACACUGAAGCACGAAAGCGUGGGGAUCAAACAGG
This 252-nucleotide ribosomal RNA is filed under the name uncultured Parabacteroides sp. Its description in RNAcentral is "partial 16S ribosomal RNA". It matches the Rfam family "Bacterial small subunit ribosomal RNA", at positions 524 to 776 of the family's 1533-position model. The record is from RNAcentral. Lineage: Bacteria; Pseudomonadati; Bacteroidota; Bacteroidia; Bacteroidales; Tannerellaceae.